RNAcentral lists this ribosomal RNA (657 nucleotides) under uncultured bacterium. RNAcentral describes it as "bacterial SSU rRNA". It matches the Rfam family "Bacterial small subunit ribosomal RNA", at positions 99 to 790 of the family's 1533-position model. The record is from RNAcentral.
CGAAAGGGAGAGUAACGCGUAGAUAUGUACCCUAGGGUCUGGGAUAGCGUCGGGAAACUGGCGGUAAUACCGGAUAAUGUCCCCGGACCAAAGGUUUACUGCCCUAGGAGCAGUCUGCGUCCUACUAGCUUGUUGGUGGGGUAAUGGCCUACCAAGGCAAUGAUGGGUAGCGGGCGUGAGAGCGUGACCCGUCUCACUGGGACUGAGACACUGCCCAGACACCUACGGGUGGCUGCAGUCGAGAAUCUUCCGCAAUGGACGAAAGUCUGACGGAGCGACGCCGCGUGCGGGAUGAAGGCCCUCGGGUUGUAAACCGCUGUCAGAGGGGAGGAAAUUUUGACCGAACCUCAGAGGAAGUCCGGGCUAAGUUCGUGCCAGCAGCCGCGGUAACACGAACCGGACAAACGUUAUUCGGAAUUACUGGGCUUAAAGAGUGCGUAGGCGGCCAUGUAGGUGGGGUGUGAAAGCCCACGGCUCAACCGUGGAAUAGCGCUCCAAACCACUUGGCUUGAGGGAGACAGGGGUAAGCGGAACUGAUGGUGGAGCGGUGAAAUGCGUUGAUAUCACCAGGAACACCAGUGGCGAAGGCGGCUUACUGGGUCUCUACUGACGCUGAGGCACGAAAGCUAGGGUAGCGAACAGGAUUAGAUACCCUGG